RNAcentral lists this ribosomal RNA (282 nucleotides) under uncultured bacterium. Its description in RNAcentral is "partial 16S ribosomal RNA". It matches the Rfam family "Bacterial small subunit ribosomal RNA", at positions 338 to 636 of the family's 1533-position model. The record is from RNAcentral.
CCUACGGGGGGCAGCAGUGGGGAAUAUUGCACAAUGGGGGAAACCCUGAUGCAGCAACGCCGCGUGAAGGAAGACGGUUUUCGGAUUGUAAACUUCUGUUCUUAGUGAAGAAAAAUGACGGUAGCUAAGGAGCAAGCCACGGCUAACUACGUGCCAGCAGCCGCGGUAAUACGUAGGUGGCAAGCGUUGUCCGGAAUUACUGGGUGUAAAGGGAGCGCAGGCGGGAAGCCAAGGCAGCUGUGAAAAUCACGGGCUCAACCUGGGGCCUGCAUUUGAAACUGU